This is a long non-coding RNA of Apis mellifera (honey bee), 4522 nucleotides long. RefSeq lists it as uncharacterized. The transcript has 3 exons. The record is from RefSeq and is a predicted model, not a curated record. Lineage: Eukaryota; Metazoa; Arthropoda; Insecta; Hymenoptera; Apidae.
AAAAAAGAAACUGGAUUUAUUUCAAUCUAUAAAUUAUAUUUGAUAAUUUGUCUGUUUGUUAUUUUAAACGAUAACGUAAUUGAUAUCGAUAGUGAUAGAAGAUCGUUAAUUAUUGAUAUAAUAAUAAAAUAUAUGGAAUGGUUUUAUUAAUUAUUUCGAUCUCGAUUUUAAUUUUAUUAUUUUCGAUUAUACCGAUUUUGAUUAGUCGAUUAUUCUCUCUAUAAAAUUGCAACGUGUCUUAAAGAUCAAUAAAUUUUAUUUAAUCCUAAAGGAAUGUUACGAUAACACGUUCGAUAAAAUUUUAAGUGGAAUAAAAGUUUUUAUCAGUGAAAGAAUUCCGUGAUUUCUGAUAGUGAAAUGAGAUAAAUUAACGUGCGAGUGAUUAGUGGAAUUUUUUUCUGCAAAGAAAUUAGAUAAUUUCCUCCUUUUUCUUUUGAUUCCAAUUUAUAAAUCAAAAAUUGAAUAUAUACUUCCUAUUAUUAUUAUUAUUAUUAUUAUUAUUUUAACUCAAAAUUCAUACGUUCAUUUAGCAAUGCCAAAUUCCACAUUUUCUAUAUCGAUCACAAUAAACCACGAAUCCCAAAAAUAACAAAUCCUAAGAAUAGGAUAAUGUCAAUGUAACUUGUAAAGAAAGAAAGAAAAAAAAAAGAAUUUCGAGAUCCAUUACAGUUAUCUAUUUCUCGACGCUUACCGCCUUAUUUAUAACUCGUUUCGCAGAAUAUUUGUACGUGAUCCUUGAGAAGAAGAAGAAGAAGAAGAAGAAGAAAUGAAGAAAUUCCAUUUAUAAUCCGGCACGGGUUUAACGCGUAGAAAUACACACGUUUUCGUUUUGAAUGGACUAUAAAUAUUAAAAUAGGAUCGCGUAACGUCGCUUUGUACGAUCGUCGAUUUUAUUGAGAUCACGAUAAUUGUGCGUGGUCCGGACGACGGAACAACGUGAUCCUCCCGUUUUUUUUCUUCUCUAUCGAGAACAUGUGUUUACACGCAAUAUGUAUAUAUGAUAAAUUGAAAUUCUAAACGAAACGGCACGCACAAAACAUCGAUAAAUGAAAAUACCGUAGUAUUAGUAGCACGGUAAAUGCCACGGUAAUGGUGCACGUGGUGUAAUGGUACGGUGAAGGUAUAUACCUUGGCCGGUCGCCUGGCCAUUUUCUCGAACGUGCAUUACUAAGUUCAACACGGCAUGAUUGAAUGGCGGCAACAUCGUAUUAAAUGUGACGCGAUUACGGUAAACACGAAGGAAAAGGAAUAUAAUGGCCGUUGGCUUGCUACUUCGAAAAAGAUGGCCACCGGGACGUGGACUUUUUAUAUCGUCGAAUGAUGUAUACGUGCAUCGUGUUUCCUAAUGUGUUUAUAUAUCCAACACUAUGUUACAAUAAUUUUUCUUUGUUACAGAUGUAUUGUAUAAUGAGUGGAUUGAAACUGUGUUGGAGUAGUAUCAAUUUUUCAUUUUUAAUUCCAAUUUAAAGGAAGAAGAAGUUGCAUCGAUUUAAAAGUAUAAAAAAAGAGGGAGGAGGAAAUAAAGUAGUAAUUAAAAACUGAAGAAAGUAAUUAAAAAUCGAAGAGGAAUAUAAUGUUAUAACGUUAUAAUAAUAUCGAAAACAAACAUUCCGCUAUAAAUAGAUUACUAUGCGAGAUACAUAUAAUAGUAUCAUAAAAUAGAUUGAUAUAUAUAUACGGCGUAAUGCAUACGUGUGCCAAUUAUAGAAGUAGCGGUUGAACAAUCAAUUUGUUCGGAUUAACGUUAAUUCGAGAGAUUAUAUCGUCGGAUGUAAUAAAGGUGAAAAUAUGCGAGGAGGAGAUUCGAAAAUAAAACGAUCACCGUCACCGUCCAAAAAUUACAAUUCCAAGGGAUAAGCAAGUGUGUGAUUCAUUAGCGAGCAUGCCAAUUACAAACCGCCCAAGACACACGUGCGAGACACGUGUAAAAGCGUACUAUCAAAGAAUUCUCAUUUUCUCUACCCAAGCACAAGUUUCGCAAGCCUCGAUACCAUACGCAUUCCGUACCGCGAAAUAACACGAAACGAAACGCCUUCGGUUGACAAAAACGAAAGUUACGAAGAAUCGAAAGAUUAUUAAUCAUGCCAAAUAUAGAACGAUAUGUAUAUUCCUUUUAUUCUUCGAUGACUGUUCGAGAGGUCCUCGAAGAGAACGUGGUUCGAGAAAAGAAAAAGAAAUAUCGGGAAACACCUCUAACUUGUAGAUCGCCUUGAGGCAGCGCCAUUUUGGUCAAACGUCUUUUAUUCGCGCGUUGAAUGCGCGGCCGUGGCUCUCGUUAUUCUAAUUCCUGUCUCGUUUCAGGAUGUACGAUCAACAGGGAGGAAUGCCUUAAUCGGAUUUGCACAAGGACGAAUGAAAAGAAAUUAAAGUAAAUUCGUUGCAUUAUCGAAGAAGAUGAUGAUACAUAGAAUCUGCGAUAAUUCGUAUCGAUAAUGGAGUGGAAAUCAUUGGUGGAAUCAUUUCUUCCCGCCGAGGAUUAAAUAAGAUUAUAUAGUAUUACGUUUCGAAGAAAUGAUUUUUCACGAUCGUGUUAUAUUUAUUACAUAAAAAGUAUUUAUUGGCUCGAGAGAAAUGUAACGAUAUCGAUUGAUAAAAGGUAAUAAAGGUAAUAGUAAUAUUUCCUAGUGUAUCGAUCGAGUAAAAAGAAAAUACACGCGUGAUUCAAUCAAUGCGUGUUUUUUUUUUUUUAACUAGGCGAUUUUGAUUAAAAAAAUUGGAUUAAAUGGCAAUAAAAUUUGUUGUUUACAUCGCGAUUAAUAAACUUGUUAUAGAUUAGUGUAUCGAUUUUAUCUUUCCUUUUUUUCUUCUCUCUUCUUCUUCUUGUUUCGCGUUUUUCUCUGUUUUCUCUCCACGAUCGAAUCAAUCUUCUAAAACUAGGUUUUGAUAUUGAAAACCAGCCGACCGAAUAUUUUUCCCCGAUUCAAAUAUUAUCUAUCGAAACCGGUUCGAUUUUACUUCUCACGCACGCGAAUGGGAAUAUAUAAUGUUUUAUUGCGGGGAAAAAUUAUCUUCCACUUCCCGAACCGAUACUAGCAACACUUUAUUUCCUGUCGUAGCCGGAUUAAACCGAUUUCGAUCGGUUUAUUCGAGUUAUACAACAAAUCGUAACGCGACAUUCAAUCGAUUGUCCAAUUAACAACUUCCGUUAGAAGUUCUUUGAAAUUUAUUCCUUUUUUUUUCCCCCUCCCUCUCUAUUUUAUCCUCAAAUUACGAGACGAAUCUUAAUUAAUCGAUUGUUAAAUCGUCCAAAUCCGUUUCUCCUUUACUUUUCUCGCGAUUAGAUUAUUGAUAAUAAUAUUAGGUUAGAUUAAUUGUAUUUUGGAAAGAGAUUAUUAGCUAAAAAAAUCUAAAUCAGUGAAUUGUUUAUAAACUUUCUUCUAGGAAAUAUAUAUACGAGAUCACAUCUACAAAUACAAGAUCAAAAGGAAGCAAACUUUUUCUUCAGUAAAAUAUUAAUUAAAUCGAAUUCGAACGUAUCCUACAAAAUUUUCCUUGAUAAAAAAACAAAGGAACUUCACUUUCUUCCCGAUCAAAGGAAAAUCGCCCGAAACAUCAUAAACUUGAAACAAAUCGAGCCACCAAAUUUCUCAAAUCUUAACCACUUUUAUGAAGAAACGUAAAAUUUACCACGCACAAUUUCCAUCCUCCCCCAAACGCAGAACGAGGAGGAUCACGUUGAACGUGAUCCAAUACCGAUUAUUUCAAAGCAAAAUUGUUCGCCGGCGACCCGUUUGGAAACUGGACGGAUGGAUACAGGUGUGCGUGUGUCUACGCGCCCGUUUCACUGUGCAAUGGAACGCGCAGACCUCCUGCGCUGGCAAUGUAAUGGAUAGUUUUAGUUACGACACAUGUUAUUACGGCAAGUGGUUAGAAAACGUGGAUGAAACGACUGGCAACAACAACAAGCUCGACUCCUUUGCUCGAGUUCGAUCGUGCAGAAAAUCCAUCGAUUGAUAUCAUCGAUUCGAAAAUCGAAUUGCGUGUAUUUUUUCUUUCUUCUAUUUUCUCUCUCUCUCUCUCGAGUGAACACCUGUUGAACUCUGGCCGGCUCUCUGUUUAGUCGGUGCGUUUAGUCACGGAGAAAGGAUUGUUGGGACGGUUGCAAGGUUUUCUGUGUGGGAACAGUAUAUCGGUGGGAAGUGUAUCGAUCGUGAAGUUUCGAAAUAUUCGUGGCUAACAGGAUAUCGCGAUAUCGAGACGGCACUGUAAAUAUAAGUGAAGAGAGACUACUGUAAAUAUAAGAAAUUGGGACUACGUUCGAAUUUGGGACGAGUUUAAUUUCUUUUUUCUUUUUUUUAAGGAUAGAGGAUUCGUUGGACGGAGAGAGGAAGUGAUCCCUCGCGUAGAGCUGUUCAAUGCCGUUUCCAAGAAGACAAAGAUUCCGACACAAUUGACAUAAAUCUGCUGAUUCUAUCGUUCGUCGAUGACGACAAUACAAGUGAUGAAGAGCGAGUGUCACGAAGGAAUUCGAACCGGAUAUUCUUCAAGAUAAAAAUGCUAAGUAAACUUCUAGAACGAGAGG